GUGGAACAAAGCUUAAACAAGAUGAAAAACGAAGAAGAACCCACAUGCUUGAUUGAUUUCUGGAUGCAGGAAAAUUUAAGAGAGAUUAACGAAGCUAAGAUCAAUGGAUUACAAAAGCCAUUUCAGUACAGUAACAAGGAACUUGGAGGUUACCUGUUCGACUUCCUCUUUGCUGCUCAAGAUGCUUCUACUUCUGCUCUGUUAUGGGCAAUCGUGCUUCUAGAUUCUCACCCACAAGUUCUGGAGAAAGUUCGGUCGGAUGUAGCGAGAUUCUGGUCGCCAGAAUCUGAGGAGCCGCUGACGGCGGAAAUGCUCAGGGAAAUGAAGUACCUGGAAGCGGUGGCGCGUGAGAUAAUCAGAAUCAGAGCUCCG
This 372-nucleotide unclassified non-coding RNA is filed under the name Hevea brasiliensis (rubber tree). The record is from RNAcentral. Lineage: Eukaryota; Viridiplantae; Streptophyta; Magnoliopsida; Malpighiales; Euphorbiaceae.